RNAcentral lists this transfer RNA (85 nucleotides) under Bacteroidota bacterium. RNAcentral describes it as "Bacteroidetes bacterium tRNA-Ser". It matches the Rfam family "tRNA". From Rfam's summary of the family: Transfer RNA (tRNA) molecules are approximately 80 nucleotides in length. Their secondary structure includes four short double-helical elements and three loops (D, anti-codon, and T loops). Further hydrogen bonds mediate the characteristic L-shaped molecular structure. tRNAs have two regions of fundamental functional importance: the anti-codon, which is responsible for specific mRNA codon recognition, and the 3' end, to which the tRNAs corresponding amino acid is attached (by aminoacyl-tRNA synthetases). tRNAs cope with the degeneracy of the genetic code in two manners: having more than one tRNA (with a specific anti-codon) for a particular amino acid; and 'wobble' base-pairing, i.e. permitting non-standard base-pairing at the 3rd anti-codon position. Lineage: Bacteria; Pseudomonadati; Bacteroidota. The record is from RNAcentral. RNAcentral also lists the same sequence under 1 other name.
GGAGGGAUGGCCGAGUGGUUUAUGGCGCACGCUUGGAAAGCGUGUUUACGGAAACGUAUCCAGGGUUCGAAUCCCUGUCUCUCCG